GACGAACGCUGGCGGCGUGCUUAACACAUGCAAGUCACGGGGUCUCGCAAGAGAGAACCGGCGAACGGUGCGUAACACGUGAACAACCUGCCGUUGUGAGGGGAUAGCCGGGCUAACGCCCGGGUAAUACCGCAUACGCUGCCCGAGGGAGUCCCGUUGGGGAGGAAAGCCGAUGGCGCAAGCGAUGGCGCACGACGAGGGUUCGCGGCCUAUCAGCUAGUUGGGGGG
Molecule: ribosomal RNA, 228 nt
Filed under: uncultured bacterium
Lineage: Bacteria
Description: partial 16S ribosomal RNA
Rfam family: Bacterial small subunit ribosomal RNA
Source: RNAcentral